RNAcentral lists this ribosomal RNA (427 nucleotides) under uncultured bacterium. Its description in RNAcentral is "bacterial SSU rRNA". It matches the Rfam family "Bacterial small subunit ribosomal RNA", at positions 355 to 775 of the family's 1533-position model. The record is from RNAcentral.
UGGGGAAUCUUGCGCAGUGGGCGAAAGCCUGACGCAGCAACGCCGCGUGAGCGAAGAAGGCCUUCGGGUUGUAAAGCUCUGUCAGGGGGAAAGAAGGCACCUGGGUUAAUAGCCCAAGGGCUGACGGUACCCCCAAAGGAAGCCACGGCUAACUACGUGUCAGCAGCCGCGGUAAUACGUAGGUGGCAAGCGUUGUCCGGAAUCAUUGGGCGUAAAGAGCGCGUAGGUGGCUUGUCAGGUCUGAUGUGAAGUUUCGGGGCUCAACCCCGAACCUGCAUCGGAAACCGGCUUGCUAGAGUCUGGGAGAGGAGAGUGGAAUUCCUGGUGUAGCGGUGAAAUGCGUAGAUAUCAGGAGGAACACCGGUAGCGAAGGCGGCUCUCUGGAACAGUACUGACGCUGAGGCGCGAAAGCUAGGGGAGCGAACAG